This 329-nucleotide unclassified non-coding RNA is filed under the name soil metagenome. Its description in RNAcentral is "partial contains 5.8S ribosomal RNA, internal transcribed spacer 2, and large subunit ribosomal RNA". The stretch from base 1 to 120 matches the Rfam family "5.8S ribosomal RNA", at positions 35 to 154 of the family's 154-position model. The record is from RNAcentral.
GAUGAAGAACGUAGCGAAAUGCGAUACGUAAUGUGAAUUGCAGAAUUCAGUGAAUCAUCGAAUCUUUGAACGCACAUUGCGCCCCCUGGUAUUCCGGGGGGCAUGCCUGUUCGAGCGUCAUUACAACCCUCAAGCUCUGCUUGGUGUUGGGCCCCGCCGCCCCGGCGGGCCCUAAAAUCAGUGGCGGUGCCGUCCGGCUCCGAGCGUAGUAAUUCUUCUCGCUCUGGAGGUCCGGGUGUGUGCUCGCCAGCAACCCCCAAUUUUUUUCAGGUUGACCUCGGAUCAGGUAGGGAUACCCGCUGAACUUAAGCAUAUCAAUAAGCGGAGGA